GGGAAGGCUGUCUGCAUCAUGACUGUCAAUGGAACUGAUUGGCUUCUUUGAGCUAUGUUGUUGGCACAUGCGUCUGUGUGAACAUUUGUGAAAACAUGAACUUCUGGGGUAACUGGACUUCCAAAGGGGGUCACAUUAGAUCGUGGGAUAUUAGAUACUGGAUAGAGGGUGCUUCCACUAAGAUUACGUUGGCGAUGAACAGCAGGGCUCACACUCCGGCAUCUGAAGUUGCUGCUGGCAGAUGAAUUAGUUCCUUUAUUAUCAAGAGGGGCAGGGACUGCAAAACCCUCCUGUUUGUUGGUGUUAUUUACAGUGGCACCUUGAUGCUGCACAGGAGAGACAGGAGUCAAACGACCAAAACACUACUGCUGCAGUUAGAAUGUGGAGUACCAAUGGGUGUAUGUCGGCUACUUCCUAAAGCACUAUCCACAGGUGUAGUCUGGGCUAGCCUGGAGCAAGGGCUCUCCCGUGACAGACUCUGAGAUCCAGCAAUCAUUUCAGAUGCAGAGGUAACUGAUCUGAAGAAUGUGCUUGUAUUUGAU
This 542-nucleotide long non-coding RNA is filed under the name Homo sapiens (human). RNAcentral's name for it is "HSALNT0220627". The record is from RNAcentral. Lineage: Eukaryota; Metazoa; Chordata; Mammalia; Primates; Hominidae.